Long non-coding RNA from Eriocheir sinensis (Chinese mitten crab), 1667 nucleotides. RefSeq lists it as uncharacterized. NCBI's taxonomy places the organism in Eukaryota, Metazoa, Arthropoda, Malacostraca, Decapoda, Varunidae. The transcript is spliced from 3 exons. The record is from RefSeq and is a predicted model, not a curated record.
GUACAUUACUAAGAUACUAAAACAAAGACAACUUUUAUAACAACCUGUCCCUGUCUUCGACGUAAUAACACGACCCAGAACAGACGCAGCGCCGCUCACCCCCAGCGGCAGGGAAAAUUACAAACACACGCAACACAUAUCGAUCACCAACACCCUUCUUCCCCUCACCUCAUUGUGGUACAUGGCAUACACACUUUAUCGUGAUGGUUUUAUCGCACAUUAAAAUUAACUAGCGACAUAAAAAUUGUUACUGGAUGCACGAACAGCUAGCCAAUGAGUGUGGAGAAGUGACGUCACGGCCUACAGUGCAUGGCAACCCCUCUCAGCGAAGCGAUCUUCUCCGUUUUCCCUCUGUCUUACCUGCGUCCUGUACUAGAAAUGACUUUGCGUUCAUUGCAUUGACUUUAAAUGUUUAUGUGAUCCUAAAUUAUUCUUCGUCAUUAUCUAGUGGAGUUAGUGUUGCAGGCACAUUUUGGAUUGUCACUGUUUCCGGCACUCGAUUAGUCCACGACGAAUAUUUCUCAAUUCCUUCUUGCUCCUUCCAUCUUCGGUCAGUGUAUUCCAGCAUCCGGUGUUGGGUGGCCUGGUGCGGCUCGCUGUCUUGUGUUUGUGCUUGAUCGAUUUGUACAUGAUAAGUGUUAACAUUCCUUAGGUGCGUGUAAAUGUAAACCAAGACGCAGGAAAACCAAGAACUAGUAGAGAUAAGGAGAAGUGGUAGUGACAACAAUGAUAGACAAAUGACGGAGAAGCAACAGCAGGGACGUAACGCCAUGAGAGGGGCGACUGUGUUGUUUACGAGGAUUUAUGUGAAGCUUCGUUGAGUAAAUGGUUCAUCACUCGAUUAAACGUCGCAGAUGUUAAUAUAUCUUUUGUUUAAUACUUUCAUCCGUGUAGAUGCGUUUCCUCUCCAUAAAACAUAAUGAUCUGACAUGUUGCAGGAACGUAAGCGUCGGAAGGAGAGCUGGCAAUGAAUCGCGUGAAGAACCGAACCCCGUACCGCCGCCGCCCUCAUCUUGCCAGGGCCAAGCGUCAGCGGGGACGGCGGCAGCGCGGGCCUGUAAGGAAUUCUGUGAUGCGUGAUACUUCAGAAAUUGGCACGAGCGAUAGUGUGGGCGUGGGGAAAAGUUGAAAGGGAGGUUGAUGUGGAAGACUUAUGAGACGGAGGAGGAGGCGGCAGCGGCAGCGUCAUGUAAUGUGAUAUAUCGUCGUGUUGUUCCGUUCCACGAGUUUGUCAUCCUCUUGGUCCCGCUCAUCGUCGUCACCACUCGUCGGCACAGCCAGCUGAGGGUCGAGCAUGGCGCUGACCUCCUACGAGCGUGGCCGCAUGGGGGCGAGCCGGGUCACGGCGGUGGGCAGCGCGCACCCGCACCCCAACAGCUGGUGGACGGCGUACCACUGGGCGGUGCUGGGCCCUGCCUUGGCCGUCGUGGCUCUGGUCUUCGCUGUCGCCUACGUUGUCCGGAAGUGCGAACGGGCAAGGUAAGUCUUGAUGCUCUUUGUUUCGUACUCCCUGGUUGAGUCCACGGCCUCGGUGACAAAUUUUCCGAAGCCAGAUUAGUUUCACAGGAAGGUGAAGGUAGUUACUAAAUUGGGUACAUAUGGAGGCCACAAAUGACAACUCUCUAAGCACUUUGUGCAAAUAGUGAAGAAUAUCUGGCGAAGAGGUG